RNAcentral lists this ribosomal RNA (445 nucleotides) under Odorrana hosii (Mount Dulit frog). RNAcentral's name for it is "partial 16S ribosomal RNA". It matches the Rfam family "Bacterial large subunit ribosomal RNA", at positions 2011 to 2619 of the family's 2925-position model. Lineage: Eukaryota; Metazoa; Chordata; Amphibia; Anura; Ranidae. The record is from RNAcentral.
UUAUACUGUCUCCUCUCUCCAAUCAGUGAAACUGAUCUCCCCGUGAAGAAGCGGGGAUUCAAUUAUAAGACGAGAAGACCCCAUGGAGCUUUAAACCCAAUUUGCACCCCUACCACCCCAAACAUCAACCAAACCUCAGGGGCCUGUACAUUGGUUUUAGGUUGGGGGGACCACGGAGCAAAAUAAAACCUCCAUAACAAAUGGGCUAACACCCUUACCUGCGAUUUACAAAUCCAAGAAUCAUUAAAAUGAUGUUUAAUGACCCAAUAAGUUGAUCAAUGAACCAAGUUACCCUGGGGAUAACAGCGCAAUCCACUCCAAGAGCCCGUAUCGACAAGUGGGUUUACGACCUCGAUGUUGGAUCAGGGUAUCCCAGUGGUGCAGCCGCUACUAAGGGUUCGUUUGUUCAACGAUUAAAACCCUACGUGAUCUGAGUAGAAAACCG